GACGAACGCUGGCGGCGUGCUUAACACAUGCAAGUCGAACGGAAAGGCCCUGCUUUUGUGGGGUGCUCGAGUGGCGAACGGGUGAGUAACACGUGUGUAACCUGCCCUUGUCUUUGGGAUAACUUCAGGAAACUGGGGCUCAUACCGGAUAGGAUCUCCUGCUGCAUGGUGGGGGUUGGAAAGUUUCGGCGGUUGGGGAUGGACUCGCGGCUUAUCCGCUUGUUGGUGGGGUAGUGGCUUACCAAGGGUUUGACGGGUAGCCGGCCUGAGAGGGUGGACGGGCACAUUGGGACUGAGAGACGGAGCAGAAGGCAACGGGAGGCAGCAGGGGGGAAUAUUGCAGAAUGGGGGGGAGCCUGAUGCGGAAACGCCGCGUGCGGGAUGACGGCCUUCGGGGGGUAAACAGAUUUGGAAUGUGACGAAGAGGGAGUGACGGUAAUGGGUAAAGAAGCACCGGCUAACUACGUG
RNAcentral lists this ribosomal RNA (468 nucleotides) under uncultured bacterium. RNAcentral's name for it is "partial 16S ribosomal RNA". It matches the Rfam family "Bacterial small subunit ribosomal RNA", at positions 28 to 507 of the family's 1533-position model. The record is from RNAcentral.